GCUAAACGGAGGGGCUGAAUCGAUCCUUAAUCGAGCUGUCGCAACCGGGAGAAAGGUUUAUCCGAAUCUUAGGAGAUCAGCAGGUAAAAUAAGAUGUCAAAGCUUACAGGGAGGUUUAUUAUGGCUGGAUGGUACAUGUAACAUAAAAAUUCUGUUUUUCCCCAUUCUCAUGAAAUGACAUCCAUCCUAUUGUCAGUGCUGCCAGGGAAAAAAAAGAACUGGUGUAUUACAACUUAAGACAAAGUGUUGAGAUGUUUGGCAGUCCUAUACAUUCACAGAGAAAAUGUUCUGCUGGAAAUAUGGGGCAACAUUCGGCCUGUACACACACAGACUAGUUAUGCUCAUGCUUGGGAUUCCGCCAAAAACUGAAAGGGAAAAGAAGCUGAUGUACUCAAACAAUCCCUGGCAAGAGAAAAUAAUUUGUGAAAUGAAAGAAUGCACAGACUUAACAUUUUAAUUUUUUUGGUACAAAAAUUGACAUUGAAAGGAAUUUACUGUAUGUGUAGUUAAAAUAGCGGGUUUCAUAUUUUAGCUGCUUUUUGCACAGAAGAGGAUGUGCUAAUAUUCAUGAAAACACUAAGAAUUCAUUUAUAGAUAGAAUAUAAGACACAAAUAUUUGUAGCGCUUAUUCAUGAUUAUGCCAACAACUCUAUAUUCAUUGAUUGUGCUAAAUUUUGAAAAUAAUUAUGUACAUGUACAGUAUCUUUCCAUAGCUUGAACUUUUCUCUGUUAA
Saccostrea cuccullata (small rock oyster) is the source of this 733-nucleotide long non-coding RNA. RefSeq lists it as uncharacterized. Lineage: Eukaryota; Metazoa; Mollusca; Bivalvia; Ostreida; Ostreidae. The record is from RefSeq and is a predicted model, not a curated record. The transcript is spliced from 4 exons.